UGGGGAAUAUUGGACAAUGGGCGAAAGCCUGAUCCAGCCAUGCCGCGUGUGUGAAGAAGGUCUUCGGAUUGUAAAGCACUUUAAGUUGGGAGGAAGGGCAUUAACCUAAUACGUUAGUGUUUUGACGUUACCGACAGAAUAAGCACCGGCUAACUCUGUGCCAGCAGCCGCGGUAAUACAGAGGGUGCAAGCGUUAAUCGGAAUUACUGGGCGUAAAGCGCGCGUAGGUGGUAUGUUAAGUUGGAUGUGAAAUCCCCGGGCUCAACCUGGGAACUGCAUUCAAAACUGACUGACUAGAGUAUGGUAGAGGGUGGUGGAAUUUCCUGUGUAGCGGUGAAAUGCGUAGAUAUAGGAAGGAACACCAGUGGCGAAGGCGACCACCUGGACUAAUACUGACGCUCAGGUGCGAAAGCGUGGGGAGCAAACA
Molecule: ribosomal RNA, 427 nt
Filed under: uncultured bacterium
Lineage: Bacteria
Description: partial 16S ribosomal RNA
Rfam family: Bacterial small subunit ribosomal RNA
Source: RNAcentral